UACGUAGGCGGUCCAAUAAGUCAGUGGUGAAAUCCUGCAGCUUAACUGUAGAACUGCCAUUGAUACUGCUGGACUUGAAUAUAGAUGAGGUAGGCGGAAUGUGUUGUGUAGCGGUGAAAUGCUUAGAUAUAACACAGAACACCAAUUGCGAAGGCAGCUUACUAGACUAUUAUUGACGCUGAGGUACGAAAGCGUGGGGAGCGAACAGGAUUAGAUACCCUGGUAGUCC
This 229-nucleotide ribosomal RNA is filed under the name uncultured bacterium. Its description in RNAcentral is "partial 16S ribosomal RNA". It matches the Rfam family "Bacterial small subunit ribosomal RNA", at positions 568 to 796 of the family's 1533-position model. The record is from RNAcentral.